AUAGGCUAAGGUCAGAGAGCUGUUGGAGUUUAGUUUGGGAUCUGAACCACAGGAUUGUGCUUCAUGUCCAUAAGUGAAGGGGGGAAUGAAGAGUUAAAAGU
This is a long non-coding RNA of Dipodomys spectabilis (banner-tailed kangaroo rat), 101 nucleotides long. RefSeq lists it as uncharacterized. Lineage: Eukaryota; Metazoa; Chordata; Mammalia; Rodentia; Heteromyidae. The record is from RefSeq and is a predicted model, not a curated record. The transcript has 3 exons.